RNAcentral lists this ribosomal RNA (761 nucleotides) under uncultured bacterium. RNAcentral describes it as "bacterial SSU rRNA". It matches the Rfam family "Bacterial small subunit ribosomal RNA", at positions 637 to 1397 of the family's 1533-position model. The record is from RNAcentral.
CAGGCUAGAGUCUUGUAGAGGGGGGUAGAAUUUCAGGUGUAGCGGUGAAAUGCGUAGAGAUCUGAAGGAAUACCAGUGGCGAAGGCGGCCCCCUGGACAAAGACUGACGCUCAGAUGCGAAAGCGUGGGUAGCAAACAGGAUUAGAUACCCUGGUAGUCCACGCCGUAAACGCUGUCUACUUGGAGGUUGAGGUUUUAGACUUUGGCUUUCGGCGCUAACGCAUUAAGUAGACCGCCUGGGGAGUACGGCCGCAAGGUUAAAACUCAAAUGAAUUGACGGGGGCCCGCACAAGCGGUGGAGCAUGUGGUUUAAUUCGAUGCAACGCGAAGAACCUUACCUACUCUUGACAUCCAGCGAAGCCUUUAGAGAUAGAGGUGUGCCUUCGGGAGCGCUGAGACAGGUGCUGCAUGGCUGUCGUCAGCUCGUGUUGUGAAAUGUUGGGUUAAGUCCCGCAACGAGCGCAACCCUUAUCCUUGUUUGCCAGCACAUAAUGGUGGGAACUCCAGGGAGACUGCCGGUGAUAAACCGGAGGAAGGUGGGGACGACGUCAAGUCAUCAUGGCCCUUACGAGUAGGGCUACACACGUGCUACAAUGGCAGAUACAGAGGGCAGCGAAGCUGCGAAGUAGAGCGAAUCCCUUAAAGUCUGUCGUAGUCCGGGUUGGAGUCUGCAACUCGACUCCAUGAAGCCGGAAUCGCUAGUAAUCGUGGAUCAGAAUGCCACGGUGAAUACGUUCCCGGGCCUUGUACACACCGCCCGU